AUUGAACGCUGGCGGCAGGCCUAACACAUGCAAGUCGAACGAGUGGCGGACGGGUGAGUAAUGUCUGUGAACCUGCUUGCUGGAGGGGGAUAACUACUGGAAACGGUAGCUAAUACCGCAUACCAUCGGUUGUGCGCAGAUGGGAUUAGCUAGUAGGUGGGGUAAAGGCUCACCUAGGCCACGAUCCCUCGCUGGUCUGAGAGGAUGACCAGCCACACUGGAACUGAGACACGGUCCAGACUCCUACGGGAGGCAGCAGUGGGGAAUAUUGCACAAUGGGCGCGAGCCUGAUGCAGCCAUGCCGCGUGUAUGAAGAAGGCCUUCGGGUUGUAAAGUACUUUCGGCGGGGAGGCGUUACCCGAAGAAGAAGCACCGGCUAACUCCGUGCCAGCAGCCGCGGUAAUAC
Molecule: ribosomal RNA, 406 nt
Filed under: uncultured bacterium
Lineage: Bacteria
Description: partial 16S ribosomal RNA
Rfam family: Bacterial small subunit ribosomal RNA
Source: RNAcentral